GGGCGUGUAACUCAGUUGGUUAGAGUGCUUCCCUUACAAGGAAGAAGUCGGGGGUUCGAGUCCCUCCACGCCCA
This 74-nucleotide transfer RNA is filed under the name Planctomycetaceae bacterium. RNAcentral's name for it is "tRNA-Val". It matches the Rfam family "tRNA". Rfam says of the family: Transfer RNA (tRNA) molecules are approximately 80 nucleotides in length. Their secondary structure includes four short double-helical elements and three loops (D, anti-codon, and T loops). Lineage: Bacteria; Pseudomonadati; Planctomycetota; Planctomycetia; Planctomycetales; Planctomycetaceae. The record is from RNAcentral.